Molecule: ribosomal RNA, 484 nt
Filed under: uncultured bacterium
Lineage: Bacteria
Description: partial 16S ribosomal RNA
Rfam family: Bacterial small subunit ribosomal RNA
Source: RNAcentral
AUUGAACGCUGGCGGCAGGCCUAACACAUGCAAGUCGAGCGGAUGAAGGGAGCUUGCUCCUGGAUUCAGCGGCCGACGGGUGAGUAAUGCCUAGGAAUCUGCCUGGUAGUGGGGGAUAACGUCCGGACACGGGCGCUAAUACCGCAUACGUCCUGAGGGAGAAAGUGGGGGAUCUUCGGACCUCACGCUCUCAGAUGAGCCUAGGUCGGAUUAGCUAGUUGGUGGGGUAAAGGCCUACCAAGGCGACGAUCCGUAACUGGUCUGAGAGGAUGAUCAGUCACACUGGAACUGAGACACGGUCCAGACUCCUACGGGAGGCAGCAGUGGGGAAUAUUGGACAAUGGGCGAAAGCCUGAUCCAGCCAUGCCGCGUGUGUGAAGAAGGUCUUCGGAUUGUAAAGCACUUUAAGUUGGGAGGAAGGGCAGUAAGUUAAUACCUUGCUGUUUUGACGUUACCAACAGAAUAAGCACCGGCUAACUUCGUG